GUAGGUGGCAAGCGUUGUCCGGAAUUAUUGGGCGUAAAGCGCGCGCAGGCGGUUCUUUAAGUCUGAUGUGAAAGCCCACGGCUCAACCGUGGAGGGUCAUUGGAAACUGGAGAACUUGAGUACAGAAGAGGAAAGCGGAAUUCCACGUGUAGCGGUGAAAUGCGUAGAGAUGUGGAGGAACACCAGUGGCGAAGGCGGCUUUCUGGUCUGUAACUGACGCUGAGGCGCGAAAGCGUGGGGGGAGCAAACAGGAUUAGAUACCCUGGUAGUCCACGCCGUAAACGAUGAGUGCUAAGUGUUAGGGGGUUUCCGCCCCUUAGUGCUGCAGCUAACGCAUUAAGCACUCCGCCCUGGGAGUACGGCCGCAAGGCUG
Molecule: ribosomal RNA, 373 nt
Filed under: uncultured organism
Description: partial 16S ribosomal RNA
Rfam family: Bacterial small subunit ribosomal RNA
Source: RNAcentral